CCCAACAGCAUAUGGGCUAGUGCUCCAUUAGACGCGUACACAGAUGCAUAUGUCAAGUGUGAUCGCAGAGGAGGGAGAGAAUGGAUCUGCUCCAAGACUGGGACGACGUCGGAGUAGCCAUGGGGCUGCACAGCAAAUCCGAUAGUUGAAUGGUGUGGCUGCUGCUGUGCUCCGACGGCAGGACAGCGAGGCAGAGCAACUCCGGUAAUCGGCGCUAGCAACUGCAAGGCUGUGGAGGUCCUAGGGUUAUGUGGCGGCUGUUCUGCAAUUCCAGCAGCUGAAGGUGGCUGCAAAGCACUAGAAGACGACUACAAGGCGUUGGCAGCCACGAUUCC
This 335-nucleotide long non-coding RNA is filed under the name Prunus persica (peach). Its description in RNAcentral is "long non-coding RNA (PPER_LNC003288)". Lineage: Eukaryota; Viridiplantae; Streptophyta; Magnoliopsida; Rosales; Rosaceae. The record is from RNAcentral.